RNAcentral lists this ribosomal RNA (454 nucleotides) under uncultured bacterium. RNAcentral describes it as "bacterial SSU rRNA". It matches the Rfam family "Bacterial small subunit ribosomal RNA", at positions 340 to 786 of the family's 1533-position model. The record is from RNAcentral.
UACGGGAGGGCAGCAGUGGGGAAUAUUGCACAAUGGGCGCAAGCCUGAUGCAGCCAUGCCGCGUGUAUGAAGAAGGCCUUCGGGUUGUAAAGUACUUUCAGUCGUGAGGAAGGUGUUAAGGUUAAUAACCUUAGCAAUUGACGUUAGCGACAGAAGAAGCACCGGCUAACUCCGUGCCAGCAGCCGCGGUAAUACGGAGGGUGCGAGCGUUAAUCGGAAUUACUGGGCGUAAAGGGCACGCAGGCGGUUAAUUAAGUUGGAUGUGAAAUCCCCGGGCUUAACCUGGGAAUGGCAUUCAAGACUGGUUAGCUAGAGUCUUGUAGAGGGGGUAGAAUUCCAUGUGUAGCGGUGAAAUGCGUAGAGAUGUGGAGGAAUACCGGUGGCGAAGGCGGCCCCUGGACAAAGACUGACGCUCAUGUGCGAAAGCGUGGGGAGCAAACAGGGAUUAGAUACC